CCGGGCGCACGGGUGAGUAACACGUAUCCAACCUGCCGUCUACUCUUGGACAGCCUUCUGAAAGGAAGAUUAAUACAAGAUGGCAUCAUGAGUCCGCAUGUUCACAUGAUUAAAGGUAUUCCGGUAGACGAUGGGGAUGCGUUCCAUUAGAUAGUAGGCGGGGUAACGGCCCACCUAGUCUUCGAUGGAUAGGGGUUCUGAGAGGAAGGUCCCCCACAUUGGAACUGAGACACGGUCCAAACUCCUACGGAAGGCAGCAG
Molecule: ribosomal RNA, 260 nt
Filed under: uncultured bacterium
Lineage: Bacteria
Description: partial 16S ribosomal RNA
Rfam family: Bacterial small subunit ribosomal RNA
Source: RNAcentral